AAAUUUGAAAUCUGGCCCUUGGGUCCGAGUUGUAAUUUGUAGAGGAUGCUUUGGGCGAGGUGCCUUCCGAGUUCCCUGGAACGGGACGCCAUAGAGGGUGAGAGCCCCGUCUGGUCGGACACCGAGCCUGUGUAAAGCUCCUUCGACGAGUCGAGUAGUUUGGGAAUGCUGCUCAAAAUGGGAGGUAUAUGUCUUCUAAAGCUAAAUAUUGGCCAGAGACCGAUAGCGCACAAGUAGAGUGAUCGAAAGAUGAAAAGCACUUUGAAAAGAGGGUUAAAAAGUACGUGAAAUUGUUGAAAGGGAAGCGCCUAUGACCAGACUUGGGCCCGGUGAAUCAUCCAGCGUUCUCGCUGGUGCACUUUGCCGGGCACAGGCCAGCAUCAGUUUGGCGCGGGGGAAAAAGGCGUUGGGAACGUGGCUCCUCCGGGAGUGUUAUAGCCCAUCGCGUAAUACCCUGCGCCGGACUGAGGUACGCGCAUUGCAAGGAUGCUGGCGUAAUGGUCAUCAGCGACCCGUCUUGAAACACGGACCAAGGAGUCGUCUUCGUAUGCGAGUGUUCGGGUGUCAAACCCCUACGCGUAAUGAAAGUGAACGCAGGUGAGAGCUUCGGCGCAUCAUCGACCGAUCCUGAUGUUCUCGGAUGGAUUUGAGUAAGAGCAUACGGGGCCGGACCCGAAAGAAGGUGAACUAUGCCUGUAUAGGGUGAAGCCAGAGGAAACUCUGGUGGAGGCUCGCAGCGGUUCUGACGUGCGAAUCGAUCGUCA
Molecule: ribosomal RNA, 764 nt
Filed under: Neohyperdermium pulvinatum
Lineage: Eukaryota; Fungi; Ascomycota; Sordariomycetes; Hypocreales; Cordycipitaceae
Description: eukaryotic LSU rRNA
Rfam family: Eukaryotic large subunit ribosomal RNA
Source: RNAcentral